UGGGGAAUUUUGGACAAUGGGGGAAACCCUGAUCCAGCCAUCCCGCGUGUGCGAUGAAGGCCUUCGGGUUGUAAAGCACUUUUGGCAGGAAAGAAACGUCAUGGGUUAAUACCCCGUGAAACUGACGGUACCUGCAGAAUAAGCACCGGCUAACUACGUGCCAGCAGCCGCGGUAAUACGUAGGGUGCAAGCGUUAAUCGGAAUUACUGGGCGUAAAGCGUGCGCAGGCGGUUCGGAAAGAAAGAUGUGAAAUCCCAGAGCUCAACUUUGGAACUGCAUUUUUAACUACCGGGCUAGAGUGUGUCAGAGGGAGGUGGAAUUCCGCGUGUAGCAGUGAAAUGCGUAGAUAUGCGGAGGAAAACCGAUUGCGAAGGCAGCCUCCUGGGAUAACACUGACGCUCAUGCACGAAAGCGUGGGGAGCAAACAGG
RNAcentral lists this ribosomal RNA (429 nucleotides) under Acidobacteriota bacterium. RNAcentral's name for it is "Acidobacteria bacterium partial 16S ribosomal RNA". It matches the Rfam family "Bacterial small subunit ribosomal RNA", at positions 355 to 776 of the family's 1533-position model. The record is from RNAcentral. Lineage: Bacteria; Pseudomonadati; Acidobacteriota.